UCGAUUUGGAGUUUGUUGCCUAGAGUGAUGGGCUCCGAAGCUAACGCGAUAAAUCGACCGCCUGGGGAGUACGGCCGCAAGGUUAAAACUCAAAUGAAUUGACGGGGGCCCGCACAAGCGGUGGAGCAUGUGGUUUAAUUCGAUGCAACGCGAAGAACCUUACCUGGUCUUGACAUCCACAGAAUCUUGCAGAGAUGCGGGAGUGCCUUCGGGAACUGUGAGACAGGUGCUGCAUGGCUGUCGUCAGCUCGUGUUGUGAAAUGUUGGGUUAAGUCCCGCAACGAGCGCAACCCUUAUCCUUUGUUGCCAUCG
RNAcentral lists this ribosomal RNA (312 nucleotides) under uncultured Gammaproteobacteria bacterium. Its description in RNAcentral is "bacterial SSU rRNA". It matches the Rfam family "Bacterial small subunit ribosomal RNA", at positions 812 to 1123 of the family's 1533-position model. Lineage: Bacteria; Pseudomonadati; Pseudomonadota; Gammaproteobacteria. The record is from RNAcentral.